RNAcentral lists this non-coding RNA (26 nucleotides) under Homo sapiens (human). Lineage: Eukaryota; Metazoa; Chordata; Mammalia; Primates; Hominidae. The record is from RNAcentral.
UCCUGUGAAUAUGUCUGUGUAGAUGG